GGUUAAGUCAGGCAACGAGCGAGACCCACGCCAACAGUUGCCAGCAUGUCCUCCGGGAUGGUGGGGACACUGUUGGGACCGCCUCUGCUAAAGAGGAGGAAGGAAUGGGCAACGGUAGGUCAGCAUGCCCCGAAUUAUCCGGGCUACACGCGGGCUACAAUGGGCAGGACAAUGGGUUUCGACACCGAAAGGUGAAGGCAAUCUCUUAAACCUGCUCGUAGUUCGGAUUGCGGGUUGCAACUCGCCCGCAUGAAGCUGGAAUCUGUAGUAACCGCGUCUCAAAAUGGCGCGGUGAAUAUGUCCCUGCCCUUGCACA
This 316-nucleotide ribosomal RNA is filed under the name uncultured archaeon. RNAcentral describes it as "bacterial SSU rRNA". It matches the Rfam family "Archaeal small subunit ribosomal RNA", at positions 1027 to 1343 of the family's 1478-position model. The record is from RNAcentral.